AAGGAUUUAAGUUAAAUAGAAAACUAAUAACCUUCAAAGUUAUAAAUAGAGACUCUCUAAGCCUUA
RNAcentral lists this transfer RNA (66 nucleotides) under Tenebrio obscurus (dark mealworm). Its description in RNAcentral is "tRNA-Trp". The record is from RNAcentral. Lineage: Eukaryota; Metazoa; Arthropoda; Insecta; Coleoptera; Tenebrionidae.